RNAcentral lists this non-coding RNA (27 nucleotides) under Mus musculus (house mouse). Lineage: Eukaryota; Metazoa; Chordata; Mammalia; Rodentia; Muridae. The record is from RNAcentral.
UGAUAGCCAGGAUAGCCUUGGGGUUGU